UGAGAAUCCCGUCCGGUUGACCGCAGGAUGUUUUACGUUACGCUCUCUAAGAGUCGAGUUGUUUGGGAUUGCAGCUCAAAAUGGGAGGUAAAUUUCUCCUAAGGCUAAAUACAGGCGAGAGACCGAUAGCGAACAAGUACCGUGAGGGAAAGAUGAAAAGAACUUUGAAAAGAGAGUUAAACAGUACGUGAAAUUGUUGAAAGGGAAACGAUUGAAGCCAGUCGUACCGGCGGGAAAUCAACUUCUUGAGCGCUUGUCGUGGGUGACUUUGAGCUUCGCGGCCUUCGUUGCUUUGCGUUAUGGUGCUUUUGUGGUGUACUUUUCCGUAUGGUAGGUCAAUAUCGAUUUUGAUCGUCAUAAAAUGAUCGGUGGCUAAUCCGUAGGAAUGUGGCUUCGGUCUUGUAUCGGAGUGUUAUAGCCUUUGGUAGAUGUGACGAUUGGGAUCGAGGAUUGCAACGAAUACCCAUUGGGCUAUCCGUCUGACCUCUGAAAGUCGCUCGGGUGUUGAAAGCGUGCUUAUGACAUUCUAGUUGGCGGUCAAAAGGUUAGAACGCGAUUACAUUCGUUAAGGAUGUUGACGUA
This 582-nucleotide ribosomal RNA is filed under the name uncultured Glomus. RNAcentral describes it as "eukaryotic LSU rRNA". It matches the Rfam family "Eukaryotic large subunit ribosomal RNA", at positions 213 to 633 of the family's 3401-position model. The record is from RNAcentral. Lineage: Eukaryota; Fungi; Glomeromycota; Glomeromycetes; Glomerales; Glomeraceae.